This 196-nucleotide ribosomal RNA is filed under the name uncultured bacterium. Its description in RNAcentral is "partial 16S ribosomal RNA". The record is from RNAcentral.
AUUACCGCGGCUGCUGGCACGGAGUUAGCCGGUGCUUCUUCUGCGGGUAACGUCAAUCGACGCGGUUAUUAACCACAUCGCCUUCCUCCCCGCUGAAAGUACUUUACAACCCGAAGGCCUUCUUCAUACACGCGGCAUGGCUGCAUCAGGCUUGCGCCCAUUGUGCAAUAUUCCCCACUGCUGCCUCCCGUAGGAG